UACGGAGGGUGCAAGCGUUCUCCGGAUUCACUGGGUUUAAAGGGUGCGUAGGAGGGCAGGUAAGUCAGUGGUGAAAUCUCCAAGCUUAACUUGGAAACUGCCGUUGAUACUAUCUGUCUUGAAUACCGUGGAGGUGAGCGGAAUAUGUCAUGUAGCGGUGAAAUGCUUAGAUAUGACAUAGAACACCAAUUGCGAAGGCAGCUCACUACACGAAUAUUGACUCUGAGGCACGAAAGCGUGGGGAUCAAACAGG
Molecule: ribosomal RNA, 253 nt
Filed under: uncultured bacterium
Lineage: Bacteria
Description: partial 16S ribosomal RNA
Rfam family: Bacterial small subunit ribosomal RNA
Source: RNAcentral